RNAcentral lists this ribosomal RNA (973 nucleotides) under Sarcophaga tibialis. Its description in RNAcentral is "eukaryotic LSU rRNA". It matches the Rfam family "Eukaryotic large subunit ribosomal RNA", at positions 110 to 907 of the family's 3401-position model. The record is from RNAcentral. Lineage: Eukaryota; Metazoa; Arthropoda; Insecta; Diptera; Sarcophagidae.
CAGCACUAAGUCACUUUGUCUUUAUGGCAAAUGUGAGAUGCAGUGUAUGGAAUGUCAAAUUUCUAGUAUGAGAAAUUAACGAUUUAAGUCCUUCUUAAAUGAGGCCAUUUACCCAUAGAGGGUGCCAGGCCCGUAUAACGUUAAUGAUUACUAGAUGGCAUUUCCAAAGAGUCGUGUUGCUUGAUAGUGCAGCACUAAGUGGGUGGUAAACUCCAUCUAAAACUAAAUAUAACCAUGAGACCGAUAGUAAACAAGUACCGUGAGGGAAAGUUGAAAAGAACUCUGAAUAGAGAGUUAAAUAGUACGUGAAACUGCUUAGAGGUUAAGCCCGAUGAACCUGAAUAUCCAUUAUAGAAAAUUCAUCAUUAUGAUUUUAAUAUUAAUAAUAUUAUAAUAAUGGUGUGCAUUUUUUCUAUAACGGACAUUGUAAUCUAUUAACAUAAAUAUAUUUAUCAUAAGAUCAAUGAUGCGUAAGUUUAUUCAAAUUAUUUUGCUUGCAAUUUAACAUAGAAUAAAUGCUCUUGAUUUGAUAAAGUGUUGAUAGAUUUAUUGUAUAUAGUGCUUAAAUAUUUAUAUUUUAUAAUAGCAUAUUAAUCAUUGAUUUUUAUGUUUAUUAUAUGCACUUAUAUGAUUAACAAUGCGAAAGAUUCAGGAUACCUUCGGGACCCGUCUUGAAACACGGACCAAGGAGUCUAACAUAUUUGCAAGUUAUUGGGUAUCAAAACCUAAUAGCGAAAUUAACAUAACUUUAAUGGGAUUAGUUUUUAGAUUAUUUAUAGUCUAUUAAUUCAAUCCCGGGGCGUUCUAUAUAGUUAUGUAUAAUAAUAUUUAUAUUAUUUAUACCUCUAACUAGAGCGUACCUUGAGCAUAUAUGCUGUGACCCGAAAGAUGGUGAACUAUACUUGAUCAGGUUGAAGUCAGGGGAAACCCUGAUGGAAGACCGAAACAGUUCUGACGUGCAAAUCGAUUGUCA